This 1039-nucleotide ribosomal RNA is filed under the name fungal sp. 44 SAB-2015. RNAcentral's name for it is "eukaryotic LSU rRNA". The stretch from base 451 to 1039 matches the Rfam family "Eukaryotic large subunit ribosomal RNA", at positions 1 to 599 of the family's 3401-position model. The record is from RNAcentral. Lineage: Eukaryota; Fungi.
ACCCCUGUGGACAUACCUAUCCUGUUGCUUCGGCGGGCGACGGGCCUCACGGCUCCGAGGCCGCCGGAGGUUCCCAACUCUGAAUCUUUGGUGCAUCUCUGAUGAAAAAAACCAAUAAUUAAAACUUUCAACAACGGAUCUCUUGGUUCUGGCAUCGAUGAAGAACGCAGCGAAAUGCGAUAAGUAAUGUGAAUUGCAUAAUUCAGUGAAUCAUCCAAUCUUUGAACGCACAUUGCGCCCGCCGGUAUUCCGGCGGGCAUGCCUGUUCUAGCGUCAUUUCACCACUCAAGCCCAGCUUGGUGUUGGGGCACCCGGCCGCCCGGCGGUCGGGGCCCCCAAGCACAUCGGCGGUCUCGCUAGGACCCUGAGCGCACUAACUCGCGGUAAAACGCGCCUCGCUCGGGAGCUCCAGGCGGGCUCCAGCCGCUAAACCCCCUAAACUUUUUAGGUUGACCUCGGAUCAGGUAGGAAUACCCGCUGAACUUAAGCAUAUCAAUAAGCGGAGGAAAAGAAACCAACAGGGAUUGCCCCAGUAACGGCGAGUGAAGCGGCAACAGCUCAAAUUUGAAAUCUGGCCCCCAGGCCCGAGUUGUAAUUUGCAGAGGAUGCUUUUGGUGACGCGCUUACCGAGUCCCCUGGAACGGGGCGCCACAGAGGGUGAGAGCCCCGUAUGGUUUGACGCCGAGCCUCUGUAAAGCUCCUUCGACGAGUGGAGGAGUUUGGGAAAGAUGCUAUAAAUAGGAGGAAAAUUUUUUUUAAAAAAAAAUACCGGCCAGAGACCGAUAGCGCACAAGUAGAGUGAUCGAAAGAUGAAAAGCACUUUGAAAAGAGGGUUAAAUAGCACGUGAAAUUGUUGAAAGGGAAGCGGUCGUGACCAGACUUGCGCCGGGCGGAUCAUCCAGGGUUCUCGCUGGGGCACUCCGCCCGGCUCAGGCCAGCAUCGGUUUUCGCCGGGGGACAAAAGCUUCGGGAAAGUAGCUCCUCUCAAAAGAGUGUUAUAGCCCGUCGCGUAAUACCCCGGCGGGGACCGAGGACCGCG